This 546-nucleotide ribosomal RNA is filed under the name uncultured bacterium. RNAcentral's name for it is "partial 16S ribosomal RNA". It matches the Rfam family "Bacterial small subunit ribosomal RNA", at positions 355 to 889 of the family's 1533-position model. The record is from RNAcentral.
UGGGGAAUAUUGCACAAUGGGCGCAAGCCUGAUGCAGCCAUGCCGCGUGUGUGAAGAAGGCCUUCGGGUUGUAAAGCACUUUCAGCGAGGAGGAAGGUGGUGAACUUAAUACGUUCAUCAAUUGACGUUACUCGCAGAAGAAGCACCGGCUAACUCCGUGCCAGCAGCCGCGGUAAUACGGAGGGUGCAAGCGUUAAUCGGAAUUACUGGGCGUAAAGCGCACGCAGGCGGUUUGUUAAGUCAGAUGUGAAAUCCCCGGGCUCAACCUGGGAACUGCAUUUGAAACUGGCAAGCUAGAGUCUCGUAGAGGGGGGUAGAAUUCCAGGUGUAGCGGUGAAAUGCGUAGAGAUCUGGAGGAAUACCGGUGGCGAAGGCGGCCCCCUGGACGAAGACUGACGCUCAGGUGCGAAAAGCGUGGGGAGCAAAACAGGAUUAGAUACCCUGGUAGUCCACGCUGUAAAACGAUGUCGAUUUUGGAGGUUGUGCCCUUGAGGCGUGGCUUCCGGAGCUAACGCGUUAAAUCGACCGCCUGGGGAGUACGGCCGC